Molecule: non-coding RNA, 128 nt
Organism: Pelobates cultripes (western spadefoot toad)
Lineage: Eukaryota; Metazoa; Chordata; Amphibia; Anura; Pelobatidae
Source: the annotation of a GenBank genome assembly
CAGCACACACACAGCACACACACACAGCACACAAACAGCACACACACACAGCACUGUGUGUGUGUGCUGUGUGUGUGCUGUAUGUGUGUGUGUGCUGUUUGUGUGCUGUAUGUGUGUGCUGUGUGCUG